Molecule: ribosomal RNA, 254 nt
Filed under: uncultured bacterium
Lineage: Bacteria
Description: partial 16S ribosomal RNA
Rfam family: Bacterial small subunit ribosomal RNA
Source: RNAcentral
UACGUAGGGGGCAAGCGUUGUCCGGAAUCAUUGGGCGUAAAGCGCGCGUAGGCGGCCCGGUAAGUCCGUUGUGAAAGUCAAAGGCUCAACCUUUGAACGCCGAUGGAUACUGCCGGGCUAGAGUCCGGAAGAGGCGAGUGGAAUUCCUGGUGUAGCGGUGGAAUGCGCAGAUAUCAGGAGGAACACCAAUAGCGAAGGCAGCUCGCUGGGACGGUACUGACGCUGGAGGCGCGAAAGCGUGGGGAGCGAACAGG